Molecule: non-coding RNA, 406 nt
Organism: Manis javanica (Malayan pangolin)
Lineage: Eukaryota; Metazoa; Chordata; Mammalia; Pholidota; Manidae
Source: RefSeq, a predicted model, not a curated record
CAGCAAGCAGGCUAUGGAGAAUCCCCCAAUGAGAAAUUUUUCUCAUUAGCAAUUCUUUGAAACAAAACAAAAAAUUGUACUCAGCACAAAAGGGUACUGCACAGCGGGGCAGAGCUGAGAGCCCUGCGCACACUGACUUCCUUGGCACCCCAGGGGAAGGCAGAUCUGGUCCCAGGGGAUCUCCUUACUUGUUAGACAAAGUGGCAUAUUGUAUGCUCUGAGCCCAGGAUGGUGGAUUGAAGAACUCCCUGAGCUCGUGUCUCUACCUAUUCUUGGGACUAAGAAAACCCGUGUGAGUCAUAAAUGGCAACUUCCUUUUGGAAUCCUGAAACUAUGAAAAAACUGAGGUUGCUGAAUGAGUGACUUACCCAAGAUAUCUCACAGCUAACAAAGGAUGGAGGUGAGA